Molecule: long non-coding RNA, 224 nt
Organism: Neopsephotus bourkii (Bourke's parrot)
Lineage: Eukaryota; Metazoa; Chordata; Aves; Psittaciformes; Psittacidae
Exons: 4
Source: RefSeq, a predicted model, not a curated record
GGUGUAGGGUGAAGAAGGGCCCCCCGGCUUUCCUGGACUGAAAGGGGAUAAAGGAGAAAAGGGAUUCCUGGGCUCACCUGGCCUCCCUGGGAAGGAUGGAGCAAAAGGAGAAGCCGGUGAACCAGGACAGCCAGGAGCAUUUGGACUGCCAGGGCCAGCAGGUCCAAAAGGAUCCGAGGGAAAGCAGGGUCCUCCAGGAAUUAAAGGCUAUGUGGGUGCACCGG